Molecule: ribosomal RNA, 455 nt
Filed under: uncultured bacterium
Lineage: Bacteria
Description: bacterial SSU rRNA
Rfam family: Bacterial small subunit ribosomal RNA
Source: RNAcentral
CGGAGGCAGCAGUGGGGAAUAUUGGGCAAUGGUCGGAAGACUGACCCAGCCAUGCCGCGUGCAGGAAGACGGCGUUCUGCGUUGUAAACUGCUUUUAUCUGGGAAGAAAAGGCCCAUGCGUGGGACAUUGCCGGUACCAGAUGAAUAAGCACCGGCUAACUCCGUGCCAGCAGCCGCGGUAAUACGGAGGGUGCAAGCGUUGUCCGGAUUUAUUGGGUUUAAAGGGUGCGUAGGCGGCUAUUUAAGUCAGCGGUGAAAGACUCCAGCUUAACCGGAGCAGUGCCAUUGAUACUGGAUAGCUUGAGUGUUGGAGGGGUACAUGGAAUUGAUGGUGUAGCGGUGAAAUGCAUAGAUACCAUCAGGAACACCGAUAGCGAAGGCAUUGUACUGGCCAACAACUGACGCUGAGGCACGAAAGUGUGGGGAUCGAACAGGAUUAGAUACCCCUGUAGUCC